Carassius auratus (goldfish) is the source of this 249-nucleotide long non-coding RNA. RefSeq lists it as uncharacterized. The transcript is spliced from 3 exons. The record is from RefSeq and is a predicted model, not a curated record. NCBI's taxonomy places the organism in Eukaryota, Metazoa, Chordata, Actinopteri, Cypriniformes, Cyprinidae.
AUGUGCUACAUAUGUGAAACUUCCUCCUUAACCAUUCUGAUUCUCCGCUCCAAGAAACUGUUUUUAUGAAGUGGCACACAACCAAUAAAAUGGUUUGUGCAAUAAGUUACACUUCAAAAUUCCUCCUUAUCCAUUCUGAUUCUCCGCUCCAAGAAACUGUUUUUAUGAAGUGGCACACAACCAAUAAAAAGUGAAUACAAAAUUAUUGUUCAAGUAUCUUCAGAAAAUGUCCCAGCAAAACUCUAAACU